RNAcentral lists this ribosomal RNA (253 nucleotides) under uncultured bacterium. RNAcentral describes it as "partial 16S ribosomal RNA". It matches the Rfam family "Bacterial small subunit ribosomal RNA", at positions 524 to 776 of the family's 1533-position model. The record is from RNAcentral.
GACAGAUGAUGCAAGCGUUAUCCGGAAUGAUUGGGCGUAAAGCGUCUGUAGGUGGCUUUUUAAGUUCGCCGUCAAAUCCCAGGGCUCAACCCUGGACAGGUGGUGGAAACUACCAAGCUAGAGUACGGUAGGGGCAGAGGGAAUUUCCGGUGGAGCGAUGAAAUGCGUAGAGAUCGGAAGGAACACCCAAGGCGAAAGCACUCUGCUGGGCCGACACUGACACUGAGAGACGAAAGCUAGGGGAGCAAAUGGG